CAAUAGCGUAUAUUAAAGUUGUUGCAGUUAAAAAGCUCGUAGUUGAAUUUCUGGUGGGCGCGCCGGUCUUCCAAGUGUUGUACUGGGCGCAGUCCGCCAUCCUUGUGGAGAGGGCUCGCAUUGAGUUGCGUGUCGGAUCUGCAUCAUUUACUGUGAAAAAAUUAGAGUGUUUAAAGCAGGCUGUCGCUUGAAUACAUUAGCAUGGAAUAAUAAGAUAGGACUUCGGUCUAUUUUGUUGGUUGCGAACCGAGGUAAUGAUUAAUAGGGAUAGUUGGGGGUAUUCAUAUUUAAUUGUCAGAGGUGAAAUUCUUGGAUUUAUGAAAGAUGAACAACUGCGAAAGCAUUUACCAAGGAUGUUUNCAUUAA
This 366-nucleotide ribosomal RNA is filed under the name uncultured eukaryote. RNAcentral describes it as "partial 18S ribosomal RNA". It matches the Rfam family "Eukaryotic small subunit ribosomal RNA", at positions 592 to 976 of the family's 1831-position model. The record is from RNAcentral.